Molecule: long non-coding RNA, 576 nt
Organism: Camelus dromedarius (Arabian camel)
Lineage: Eukaryota; Metazoa; Chordata; Mammalia; Artiodactyla; Camelidae
Exons: 4
Source: RefSeq, a predicted model, not a curated record
UUUCAGUAGGGUGGGAGCUGCCUUCCACUCAGAGCUAAAACUCCAGGUUCUACAGCUGCCUUUCCAGAGGUCAUGUUCACUGCUACCUUACAGGAGGCCUGGAACACCCCUCCUAUAUCUGCCCGUGGACCCAGCAGUCUGGACUUUUGCCCCAACAGAUCUGUGGUCUAAUGAUGGGAGGAAAGGCUUACAAUCGAGAAAAACCUACCCAGAGCCUAGCCUUUCCCCUGCCCAUUGGGCGUGUCUGUUCCUGUCCCUGUCUGACACCUGGCUGUGAAGGACAUCGAAGUCAUUGGGUGACACUGGUCAGUUACCCCAGACGAAAGCGGAGGUUGAGUCCUUAGCUUACAACGCAGGAGUGUCAUGAUGACCGAGUAUUAGCUCCCAGGUUAUAUGGUUGCACACACUCAGGGCCAACAAAACCAAAGGCAAAAACCAAUGGCAGGAGCAGCAAGAACGUGAGGAGACUAGAGAGUCAAGGGUGACCAGAGUCCAGCCCAGCGGAUUGUGUGUGCCCAGCUGCUCUGGGAUCGUCAGACAGGAGGAGAAUGCAAACCCCAAGACCUGGGUGAUGCU